RNAcentral lists this unclassified non-coding RNA (341 nucleotides) under soil metagenome. RNAcentral describes it as "partial contains 5.8S ribosomal RNA, internal transcribed spacer 2, and large subunit ribosomal RNA". The stretch from base 1 to 120 matches the Rfam family "5.8S ribosomal RNA", at positions 35 to 154 of the family's 154-position model. The record is from RNAcentral.
GAUGAAGAACGUAGCGAAAUGCGAUAAGUAGUGUGAAUUGCAGAAUUCAGUGAAUCAUCGAAUCUUUGAACGCACAUUGCGCCCUUUGGUAUUCCAAAGGGCAUGCCUGUUCGAGCGUCAUUUGUACCCUCAAGCUUUGCUUGGUGUUGGGCGUCUUGUCUCUAGCUUUGCUGGAGACUCGCCUUAAAGUAAUUGGCAGCCGGCCUACUGGUUUCGGAGCGCAGCACAAGUCGCACUCUCUAUCAGCAAAGGUCUAGCAUCCAUUAAGCCUUUUUUUCAACUUUUGACCUCGGAUCAGGUAGGAAUACCCGCUGAACUUAAGCAUAUCAAUAAGCGGAGGA